RNAcentral lists this ribosomal RNA (713 nucleotides) under uncultured Lachnospiraceae bacterium. RNAcentral describes it as "bacterial SSU rRNA". It matches the Rfam family "Bacterial small subunit ribosomal RNA", at positions 28 to 740 of the family's 1533-position model. Lineage: Bacteria; Bacillati; Bacillota; Clostridia; Lachnospirales; Lachnospiraceae. The record is from RNAcentral.
GACGAACGCUGGCGGCGUGCUUAACACAUGCAAGUCGAACGAGAAUCACUGGAAGGAGUUUUCGGACAACGGAAGGUGAGGACAGUGGCGGACGGGUGAGUAACGCGUGAGGAACCUGCCUUUCAGAGGGGGACAACAGUUGGAAACGACUGCUAAUACCGCAUGACACAUAGAGAUCGCAUGGUUUUUAUGUCAAAGAUUUAUCGCUGAAAGAUGGCCUCGCGUCUGAUUAGCUAGUUGGUGAGGUAACGGCCCACCAAGGCGACGAUCAGUAGCCGGACUGAGAGGUUGACCGGCCACAUUGGGACUGAGAUACGGCCCAGACUCCUACGGGAGGCAGCAGUGGGGAAUAUUGGGCAAUGGGCGCAAGCCUGACCCAGCAACGCCGCGUGAAGGAAGAAGGCUUUCGGGUUGUAAACUUCUUUUGUCGGGGACGAGUAGAAGACGGUACCUGGCGAAUAAGCCACGGCUAACUACGUGCCAGCAGCCGCGGUAAUACGUAGGUGGCAAGCGUUGUCCGGAUUUACUGGGUGUAAAGGGCGUGUAGCCGGGAAGGCAAGUCAGAUGUGAAAUCCACGGGCUUAACUCGUGAACUGCAUUUGAAACUACUUUUCUUGAGUAUCGGAGAGGCAAUCGGAAUUCCUAGUGUAGCGGUGAAAUGCGUAGAUAUUAGGAGGAACACCAGUGGCGAAGGCGGAUUGCUGGACGACAAC